AAAAAUAAAAAUAAAAAAUAAAAUUUAGUAUUUGAUAUUUUUAGAUGAUGUUGAUGAAGAGACAAAUAUUGAACCUCUCAUAGCAACUUUUAUUUCUUUUUUGAAGUAUAGUUGACUGUAUAAAUUAAUGUAUUAUUUAUAUCUUCUAUUUACUAUAUAAUUUAAAAUAUUUUAGAAUUUAUAUAAAUUUUCCGCCGCGUAGCGCGGGCCUUCACUAGUAUAACU
Molecule: long non-coding RNA, 225 nt
Filed under: Ananas comosus (pineapple)
Lineage: Eukaryota; Viridiplantae; Streptophyta; Magnoliopsida; Poales; Bromeliaceae
Description: long non-coding RNA (ACOM_LNC015415)
Source: RNAcentral